Molecule: ribosomal RNA, 479 nt
Filed under: uncultured bacterium
Lineage: Bacteria
Description: partial 16S ribosomal RNA
Rfam family: Bacterial small subunit ribosomal RNA
Source: RNAcentral
GAUGAACGCUCGCGGGAGGCCUAACACAUGCAAGCCGAGCGGUAGAGUUUCUUCGGAAACUUGAGAGCGGCGCACGGGUGCGUAACACGUGUGCAACCUACCUUUAUCUGGGGGAUAGCCUUUCGAAAGGAAGAUUAAUACCCCAUAAUAUAAUGAUUGUCAUCAAUUAUUAUUGAAAACUCCGGUGGAUAGAGAUGGGCACGCGCAAGAUUAGAUAGUUGGUGAGGUAACGGCUCACCAAGUCAAUGAUCUUUAGGGGUCCUGAGAGGGAGAUCCCCCACACUGGUACUGAGACACGGACCAGACUCCUACGGGAGGCAGCAGUGAGGAAUAGUGGACAAUGGGUGAGAGCCUGAUCCAGCCAUCCCGCGUGAAGGAUGACGGUCCUAUGGAUUGUAAACUUCUUUUGUACAGGGAUAAACCUACCCUCGGGAGGGUAGCUGAAGGUACUGUACGAAUAAGCACCGGCUAACUCCGUG